RNAcentral lists this microRNA (21 nucleotides) under Panagrellus redivivus. RNAcentral describes it as "prd-miR-993-3p". Its record names the gene prd-miR-993-3p. Lineage: Eukaryota; Metazoa; Nematoda; Chromadorea; Rhabditida; Panagrolaimidae. The record is from miRBase by way of RNAcentral.
UAAGCUCGCUUCUACAGGAUU